RNAcentral lists this ribosomal RNA (306 nucleotides) under Triticum aestivum (bread wheat). RNAcentral's name for it is "partial small subunit ribosomal RNA". Lineage: Eukaryota; Viridiplantae; Streptophyta; Magnoliopsida; Poales; Poaceae. The record is from RNAcentral.
AUGAUCAUCACUGGGGAUGACCCCGAGUAUAUUGCCUUUGUAAAGGCCCGUCUUAGUGAGCAGUUUCUUAUGUCUGAUCUUGGACCUCUUCGCUACUUUCUUGGGAUUGAAGUCUCUUCUACCUCUGAUGGCUUUUUAUAUCCCAGGAAAAGUAUAUCCAGGAUCUUCUUGCUCGUGCUGCUCUUACUGAAGAGCGCAUUGUUGAGACUCCCAUGGAGCUCAAUGUUCACCUCCGUGCUACUGAUGGUGAUCCUCUCCCUGACCCGACGCGUUAUCGUCAUCUCGUUGGCAGUCUUGUCUAUCUAG